GCCGAAGUGGCGGAACGGCAGACGCGCUACGUUCAGGACGUAGUGCCCGCAAGGGCGUGUGGGUUCAAAUCCCUCCUUCGGCACCA
This 86-nucleotide transfer RNA is filed under the name Dehalococcoidia bacterium. RNAcentral's name for it is "tRNA-Leu". It matches the Rfam family "tRNA". From Rfam's summary of the family: Transfer RNA (tRNA) molecules are approximately 80 nucleotides in length. Their secondary structure includes four short double-helical elements and three loops (D, anti-codon, and T loops). Lineage: Bacteria; Bacillati; Chloroflexota; Dehalococcoidia. The record is from RNAcentral.